AUGUACAAACGUCUCUCACAAAGUGCAAACUGCUGCCAUUGUGUCAACACUGUUGAUCUCAUCUGAGACACUAUGGCCUGCUUCUUUCACAGACAGACUUACAGACCCACGUGAGCACUCGAGAUGUUGUCAGGUGCUUCCAGAACCAGAUUAACCCCAGCUCCCAUCCCAGUGCCUUCACCACUCCUAAUCCCAGUCCCAAUCCCAAUCGGACUCCCACUUUCACAUCCAAUGCAAUUACCGGAGAAGGAGAUCAGAGGCCAGAGAAAGGACCCGAGGCUGCGGCAAAAUCUAUGCAACUUCCCCCUGAUCCCAGCCGGGUGUCGGCUGUGCAUCACAGAGAACUUCUUAGAGGAGAGUACAAUGAGGAGGAGUCUACGAGAUCAUUCCAGGAAGCUCUCAGACAGUGGAGAGGAGAGAAGAGUGAAGGAGCCGGAGAUCCCAUGAGUGAGGAUGCAAUGUGGACACCUACCAGACCAGUAUCAGUGUCAGCUAUGGCGACCCAGGCUGACCUCGCUCCAGUCAGAGGAGCUGAAGGACGAGGAGGGGGAGAAGGGAGCGUACCUGUCAGGGUGGAGUUCACAGAACACAGCCUUACCUACAUGGACAGAUUGCUUCUCAAGAAGCACCGCAGGAUGCCAAUCGAAACUUAUCGUCCAUCGUUGGCCUUUGGUACGGAUUUAAAAUCACCACCUAAAACAAAUACUGGGGAGGAGACUGCAAGCCUAACAGCUCAGGAGGAGGAUUUUCUUCGCUACUGUGCAUCAUUGUUUGCUGUCCCUGUCAGCAGCGGCAGGACUGAGCCUCAGAUUACUAAACCUGAAUCGUGCCUGGUCAUAGAAGUUCUGGAUGAGGUGAGAAGGACCGAAGCGUUUCAUUUGAACAAACGUGA
RNAcentral lists this long non-coding RNA (892 nucleotides) under Cottoperca gobio. Its description in RNAcentral is "lncRNA (ENSCGOG00000006310.1)". Lineage: Eukaryota; Metazoa; Chordata; Actinopteri; Perciformes; Bovichtidae. The record is from RNAcentral.